This 253-nucleotide ribosomal RNA is filed under the name uncultured prokaryote. RNAcentral describes it as "partial 16S ribosomal RNA". It matches the Rfam family "Bacterial small subunit ribosomal RNA", at positions 525 to 777 of the family's 1533-position model. The record is from RNAcentral.
ACGAAGGGUGCAAGCGUUACUCGGAAUUACUGGGCGUAAAGCGUGCGUAGGUGGUUCGUUAAGUCUGAUGUGAAAGCCCCGGGCUUAACUUGGGAAUUGCGCUCGAAACUACUUGGCUGGAGUGUGGCAGAGGAAGGUGGAAUUCCACGUGUAGCGGUGAAAUGCGUAGAGAUGUGGAGGAACACCAAUGGCGAAGGCAGCCUUCUGGGCCAACACUGACGCUCAUGCACGAAAGCGUGGGGAGCAAACAGGA